Molecule: long non-coding RNA, 250 nt
Filed under: Elaeis guineensis (African oil palm)
Lineage: Eukaryota; Viridiplantae; Streptophyta; Magnoliopsida; Arecales; Arecaceae
Description: long non-coding RNA (EGUI_LNC061578)
Source: RNAcentral
AACCCCGUUAGGAGUAGAGAGAAAACCCUCGCCCAAACAUAAAAAAAAAGGAGGAAAAAAAGGAGAAAAUGAUGAGCUAUGCCAAAGAUAAGGGAGAAACAAACUACAUCUAAGAUAUAAGGGACCUCAUCUCAACGAGGAAGAAAACUCUUAUAAAAAAUUCUCAGUCUCUAAGGGGGAACCCAACACUAGCAAGAGAAAAUAGACUCCCUUAAAGUAACGAGAAGUUCAGGCCCCAAGCUCGAGCACC